CCUACGGGUGGCAGCAGUCGAGAAUCAUUCACAAUGGGGGAAACCCUGAUGGUGCGACGCCGCGUGGGGGAAUGAAGGUCUUCGGAUUGUAAACCCCUGUCAUGUGGGAGCAAAUUCAAAAGAUAGUACCACAAGAGGAAGAGACGGCUAACUCUGUGCCAGCAGCCGCGGUAAUACAGAGGUCUCACGCGUUGUUCGGAAUCACUGGGCGUAAAGCGUGCGUAGGCUGUUUCGUAAGUCGUGUGUGAAAGGUGCGGGCUCAACCCGCGGACGGCACAUGAUACUGCGAGACUAGAGUAAUGGAGGGGGAACCGGAAUUCGCGGUGUAGCAGUGAAAUGCGUAGAUAUCGAGAGGAACACUCGUGGCGAAGGCGGGUUCCUGGACAUUAACUGACGCUGAGGCACGAAGGCCAGGGGAGCGAAAGGGAUUAGAUACCCUGGUAGUC
RNAcentral lists this ribosomal RNA (446 nucleotides) under uncultured bacterium. RNAcentral's name for it is "partial 16S ribosomal RNA". It matches the Rfam family "Bacterial small subunit ribosomal RNA", at positions 338 to 795 of the family's 1533-position model. The record is from RNAcentral.